This 242-nucleotide ribosomal RNA is filed under the name uncultured bacterium. Its description in RNAcentral is "partial 16S ribosomal RNA". It matches the Rfam family "Bacterial small subunit ribosomal RNA", at positions 57 to 305 of the family's 1533-position model. The record is from RNAcentral.
GCAAGUCGAGCGGACCUUUCGGGGUCAGCGGCGGACGGGUGAGUAACACGUGGGCAAUCUGACCGAUACUCUGGGAUAACGCUUGGAAACGAGUGCUAAUACCGGAUGGUCUUCUUGGCCGCAUGGCCGAAAAGGAAAAGACGCGUUCGCGGCGGUGUCGGAUGAGCCCGCGGCGCAUUAGCUAGUUGGUGUGGUAACGGCCCACCAAGGCGACGAUGCGUAGCCGGCCUGAGAGGGUGACC